This 334-nucleotide long non-coding RNA is filed under the name Panax ginseng (ginseng). RNAcentral describes it as "long non-coding RNA (PGIN_LNC018364)". Lineage: Eukaryota; Viridiplantae; Streptophyta; Magnoliopsida; Apiales; Araliaceae. The record is from RNAcentral.
UGCAAAGCAAUUAAAGUAGGCCUCCCCAAAAUAGCAUUAUAAGCAGAAUCUACAUGCACAACAUAAAAUUUACAAAUAAUUUCUACCUGUUGAGGGGCCGUUCCAAAUAUGACUGGUAGCUCAAUGGUCCCAGCCACUUUAACCGGAUCAUUGCUGAAACCAUAAAGAGGAGCCUCCUGCCCUAUUUCCAUCUUUCGCCCAUCCAGAUUCAUCCUUUGAUAAGCGUGGGCGUACAGGAUGUCUACAGAAGACCCAUUAUCUACCAUCAUCCGCUUCAUAUCCACCGAACCCACUUGUGCAGUCAGCACCAAUGAUCCCUCGUGCGGUUCGAUGA